ACAAGUUUCUGGGUGAUGUCAAUGCUGCUGCGCUGAGGACCCCACUUGAAGACCCGCUGGAUAAGGCCACUCACAGUGGAUGCUCUCUGACAACACAGUCAGCAGCUCCAGGACAGAGUGUUCCAAGUCCACCUGAGCCUGGGAGAUGGGAGAAAAGAGGAUCAGAGAGUUGAGCAAUUUGCUGAAAGCCACACAGGUAGUAAAGAAGCAGGAGUGGAGUU
RNAcentral lists this long non-coding RNA (221 nucleotides) under Homo sapiens (human). RNAcentral describes it as "HSALNT0096911". Lineage: Eukaryota; Metazoa; Chordata; Mammalia; Primates; Hominidae. The record is from RNAcentral.